CACUGUCACCACCCACUUUCCCCUCCCCUCUAACUAGGUGGGAAACUUUGGGGCUUCGGGACUCAGCUCACCACUGAGGGAAACAUGAUUCUGAAGUACUGCUGGCUGUUCGCACUUGCCGUACCCAGUGCCUCGAUGAAGACUUUGGAUGGUGUAGGCCUUUGGUCUGGGUUGAGUCCGAUGAUGCGGUAGGAUGCGUUUUGGAUUUAUUAGGUGCUGAACUUUACAAAACCAGUUUAGGAACGGAAAUGUAAUAAAUGGGACAUGGGCCCAAGGCUUUUCUCAAAGAAACACGUCAAGGUUUCUUUAGCAGGAAAGGCUGAUCUUGGCCAGUUGCUGUCGACAUUUGCAGCAGCUGGAAAGGGUAGUUGAGCUGGAGAGCCUGCAAAAGGGAUCAAACAAUGAUCAUCAAGGCCAUUCAGCAGCAGAUGGAACAUGAGAUGUUCUCUCGGGGAAACCGGCAAGGAGUGAAGACAGAGCCACCAGUAACUAUUGAAACCUCCUGAGAACAUACAUAAAGAUGGAGCAGACCAACUCUAGCCUCAGAUCUAUCCUUUGCAUUUUCAAUUUUCAAUUAUUUGAUUGACCCAAUUUUAUAACAUUUGUUAAGCAUCCCAAGAUGUUCUGUAAUCUGUC
Molecule: long non-coding RNA, 636 nt
Organism: Rhincodon typus (whale shark)
Lineage: Eukaryota; Metazoa; Chordata; Chondrichthyes; Orectolobiformes; Rhincodontidae
Exons: 2
Source: RefSeq, a predicted model, not a curated record